CCUACGGGAGGCUGCAGUGGGGAAUAUUGGACAAUGGGGGGAACCCUGAUCCAGCCAUGCCGCGUGUGUGAAGAAGGCCCUCGGGUUGUAAAGCACUUUCAGUGAGGAAGAACGCCUGGUGGUUAAUACCCAUCAGGAAAGACAUCACUCACAGAAGAGGCACCGGCUAACUCCGUGCCAGCAGCCGCGGUAAUCAGGAGGGUGCGAGCGUUAAUCGGAAUUACUGGGCGUAAAGCGCGCGUAGGUGGCUUGAUAAGCCGGUUGUGAAAGCCCCGGGCUCAACCUGGGAACGGCAUCCGGAACUGUCAAGCUAGAGUGCAGGAGAGGAAGGUAGAAUUCCCGGUGUAGCGGUGAAAUGCGUAGAGAUCGGGAGGAAUACCAGUGGCGAAGGCGGCCUUCUGGACUGACACUGACACUGAGGUGCGAAAGCGUGGGUAGCAAACAGGAUUAGAUACCCGUGUAGUC
This 465-nucleotide ribosomal RNA is filed under the name Vreelandella stevensii. RNAcentral describes it as "partial 16S ribosomal RNA". It matches the Rfam family "Bacterial small subunit ribosomal RNA", at positions 338 to 795 of the family's 1533-position model. Lineage: Bacteria; Pseudomonadati; Pseudomonadota; Gammaproteobacteria; Oceanospirillales; Halomonadaceae. The record is from RNAcentral.